Long non-coding RNA from Diabrotica virgifera virgifera (western corn rootworm), 1072 nucleotides. RefSeq lists it as uncharacterized. The transcript has 2 exons. NCBI's taxonomy places the organism in Eukaryota, Metazoa, Arthropoda, Insecta, Coleoptera, Chrysomelidae. The record is from RefSeq and is a predicted model, not a curated record.
GGUAACACGCCGCAUUAUUUAUAAGUGGCAGAGUUUGAAGCUAAAUCUCAAAAUGGAACAUAACUAAAAGGAUAUCCAAACAUCAGCCAAUACCAUGUGCCAAAAAUAGUAUAUCAAAAUUAAAUAUAUCUGGGGACCUAUUCACAUAAAAGGAAUUAUAAUACCGCUGGCGUGUUGCUUGCUCAAAUUCCGCCACUUAGUUAUUUAGUCACGUAGCGUGACUCUAUCACGUUUAUUAUGUACCUGAUUUUUACAUCAAGGAUUUUCCGGUAGGACUUAACCCACCACAGCAGCCAAAUAGCUUUGUUGUGCCAAGAGGAUUUUCCUGAGGACUGUAUGACUUCUAUAGGACUGUAGGAUCUUCCUAAGGACUUUUCAUAAAGGACUAUUUGCCCCUUUUAACAACCGGCUGUUGUAAAAGCUAAGUUUUUACCUUUCUUUUAUAUACUUUUGGUUCAUAUAAUUUUAGUAUAGUGUAAACUUUUCGUAUGCAUACGAUCAGGUAGAGUACAUAUUUUCGUGAUAGAUAGGGUUUUAGGUCGUUGUUUUUUCUUUAAUUCAAUAUAAUUAGUAGUUUGUUUAAAUAAAUAAAAUCAGGUUUUUUUUAAUAAUAAUUAUAAAUAAUUGUAGCUUAAAAUUUGAUAGGGAAUCAGGGGGUAAAAUUUUGUCGCGGAUUUUAAAUAGGGAAUAUGUCUAGUAGGUUUUUUUUGCAAGUAGGAUAUAACGAGUGCUGACCAACUCAAUAUAUAAUUAGUAUUUUUGCUAGAUGAUAUACUUAAUUUUUGGUAACCGUAGCGUUCUUGUUGUGUACCUAUCUCACUCUAGCCUAGUUCAAUUUAGGGAAUAUUACUAACUUUUAGUUGUAAGGACUUUGUGCAACUCUAACGGACUUUUGAUUUGGAUUUUGAUAUUAAUACCUUUGCUUGGCCCAGUGAUAGUGGAUAAUUGCUUGUUAAGUGGCCUUUGCGGUCCUAUUUGAUCUUUUCACCAUCCACUAUCACUGUUAUUAAGUUGCGUUAUAUGUAAAUUGUUAAUAUGUAACAUUUAUUGUUAAUAUAUUUGUUAUUAGGAA